CUCUCUCUCUCUCUCUCUACCUUCAAAUCUUCAAGACUUGUUCUUCAUUCAAAGCUUUGAAGGUGAUCCAUGGAGGUUGCAAGUUGAAGGGCAUUCAAAGGAGCUUUGUUCUAGUCUUGUUCAUCAUCUUUCUCACCAUCAUCUUCACUAGAAUUUCUACCCUAGCCUUGUGCUAGUAGUUGUCGUGUAGCGGACAGGGUUUGAGAUUCGAUUCAAGACGCACUACUGUGAGUACAUAGACCCCUCUCUUACUGUUUUCUAAUGUUUUGGGGAGCUGUUGCUUAGGAUGUUCGUGAC
Molecule: long non-coding RNA, 297 nt
Filed under: Helianthus annuus (common sunflower)
Lineage: Eukaryota; Viridiplantae; Streptophyta; Magnoliopsida; Asterales; Asteraceae
Description: hypothetical non coding rna
Source: RNAcentral